Molecule: long non-coding RNA, 1341 nt
Filed under: Apteryx rowi (Okarito brown kiwi)
Lineage: Eukaryota; Metazoa; Chordata; Aves; Apterygiformes; Apterygidae
Description: lncRNA (ENSARWG00000001468.1)
Source: RNAcentral
AUGCCUUCCACAUGCAUUUACCCAGUUAAAACACAUAGAGGAGCAUAAUGGCAGAGCUGUUCAUAUACUGCAAAUCCCAUGGGUUAGCUUUAGUAAUUUCAGUAAUAAAUACACAUACCUUAUUUACACCGUCACUACCUCACGCUGUGUGAGAACACCAAAAUGAAUGUUUCUGUUUUCUCACAUUUCACUGAAGGGCAGAAGGAACUUUCAGACUGUGUCCUGCAAGACAGGCCUAGGUGUAACCGCAGCCCCAGCACACCAAGGUCCUGGAGAAGAGUACCAAGCAGCUGGAUGCAAACCGGUUUGCAGGACCAAGGUCACCAGAGGAGGUGACACCCCAUCCCAGGAGCUCCCUCACAGCACCAGGGCCAGYGGCAGUGUCAUGGUGCCAGCACCCUUGCAGCAGGUCCUGGUUCUGAGCAUGAGCAGGAAGACCAGAAUACUCCCAAAGUAAAAGUAUGUUCCUAUGACCACCAAUGGUCUGGUGCCUGAGAAAGAUCAGGAAGCGUGCUGGAAGCGAUCUGCAAUGAUGCAGUCCCAGGUACUCCAGAUCCUCCAGAACAGAUUGUGCCUUGUGGUACCUUACCUGCACCCCUCCUCCUCCAACAUCAAUCCCAUUAGGCUGAAAGCACCCAAAACCCCACGGAGGCCCAUAUGCCUUCUGGCUCAUUGCUUUGGUUGGUGAGCACCAGCAACCUUUCCUGCUAGAGACAGGAAGCUGCUUGAGCUCACCCGUAAAUGCCAGCAGCCCGCUUGGAAACACAGUCUGACAGUAGUCCAGAGAAACAGUCAGAGGAGCCAGUGGAAACAGGGUUAAAACACAGACAGGCACAAAUCCCAGGCCUUGCAAGCAGUUGGGAUUUUACUGCAGCAGCUGGCUGCAGCAUUCUGUAGCGUACCAGUCUGUUCACACUUGAAACAUGGUUUGUCUUACAGUAUUCUGGAUUUCUCUGUAGUAGCAGGUUUCCACAGCAGCAAGACAAAGUUCAUGCAAAGUUGGUUUGUUUUGUUUUUUUUUGUUUGGUUGUUUUUUUAAAAUCAGCUGGUACACUUGGAGGAGACUGUUGAGCUUCUGGAGAGACUAACUGGGUAUUUCUAGAACAGAACAACUGUGGGGCAGCUGUCACCCACACUCCAUGCAUUUUUCAUUUUGUGAAAAUCUCCACCUUUCUCUGAUUUAGACUGUCAUUCCCCUUUGCUUGCACUGAAUUUCUUUUCCUCAUUUUCCCUCCGUGAUUUUCUGCCAUAGGCUAAUUUCCUUUCCUUACUUCUAUUUUUAAGAGGUCACUUCSUGGAAUUCAAAACAUCAUUUGCUAAAUAAAGACUAAUAUUUCAACA